UACGAAGGGGGCUAGCGUUGCUCGGAAUCACUGGGCGUAAAGCGCACGUAGGCGGCUUGUUAAGCCAGGGGUGAAAUCCUGGAGCUCAACUCCAGAACUGCCUUUGAUACUGGCGAGCUUGAGUCCGGGAGAGGUGAGUGGAACUGCGAGUGUAGAGGUGAAAUUCGUAGAUAUUCGCAAGAACACCAGUGGCGAAGGCGGCUCACUGGCCCGGUACUGACGCUGAGGUGCGAAAGCGUGGGGAGCAAACAGG
Molecule: ribosomal RNA, 253 nt
Filed under: uncultured bacterium
Lineage: Bacteria
Description: partial 16S ribosomal RNA
Rfam family: Bacterial small subunit ribosomal RNA
Source: RNAcentral